UACGUAGGGGGCAAGCGUUGUCCGGAUUUAUUGGGCGUAAAGAGCUCGUAGGCGGUUCCGUAAGUCGUGAAGUCAAAUCUCUGGGCUCAACCCAGAAUCGCUUCCGAUACUGCGGCGACUGGAGUCCGGUAGGGGAGUGUGGAAUUCCUGGUGUAGCGGUGAAAUGCGCAGAUAUCAGGAGGAACACCAACAGCGAAGGCAGCACUCUGGGCCGGUACUGACGCUGAGGAGCGAAAGCAUGGGGAGCGAACAGG
RNAcentral lists this ribosomal RNA (254 nucleotides) under uncultured bacterium. Its description in RNAcentral is "partial 16S ribosomal RNA". It matches the Rfam family "Bacterial small subunit ribosomal RNA", at positions 524 to 776 of the family's 1533-position model. The record is from RNAcentral.